Molecule: ribosomal RNA, 2915 nt
Filed under: Escherichia coli
Lineage: Bacteria; Pseudomonadati; Pseudomonadota; Gammaproteobacteria; Enterobacterales; Enterobacteriaceae
Description: partial 23S ribosomal RNA
Rfam family: Bacterial large subunit ribosomal RNA
Source: RNAcentral
GGUUAAGUUAGAAAGGGCGCACGGUGGAUGCCUUGACACUAGGAGUCGAUGAAGGACGGGACUAACGCCGAUAUGCUUCGGGGAGCUGUAAGUAAGCUUUGAUCCGAAGAUUUCCGAAUGGGGAAACCCACCAUACGUAAUGGUAUGGUAUCCUUAUCUGAAUACAUAGGGUAAGGAAGACAGACCCAGGGAACUGAAACAUCUAAGUACCUGGAGGAAGAGAAAGCAAAUGCGAUUUCCUGAGUAGCGGCGAGCGAAACGGAACAUAGCCCAAACCAAGAGGCUUGCCUCUUGGGGUUGUAGGACAUUCUAUACGGAGUUACAAAGGAACGAGGUAGACGAAGCGACCUGGAAAGGUCCGUCGUAGAGGGUAACAACCCCGUAGUCGAAACUUCGUUCUCUCUUGAAUGUAUCCUGAGUACGGCGGAACACGUGAAAUUCCGUCGGAAUCUGGGAGGACCAUCUCCCAAGGCUAAAUACUCCCUAGUGAUCGAUAGUGAACCAGUACCGUGAGGGAAAGGUGAAAAGCACCCCGGAAGGGGAGUGAAAGAGAUCCUGAAACCGUGUGCCUACAAAUAGUCAGAGCCCGUUAACGGGUGAUGGCGUGCCUUUUGUAGAAUGAACCGGCGAGUUACGAUCCCGUGCGAGGUUAAGCUGAAGAGGCGGAGCCGCAGCGAAAGCGAGUCUGAAUAGGGCGUUUAGUACGUGGUCGUAGACCCGAAACCAGGUGAUCUACCCAUGUCCAGGGUGAAGUUCAGGUAACACUGAAUGGAGGCCCGAACCCACGCACGUUGAAAAGUGCGGGGAUGAGGUGUGGGUAGCGGAGAAAUUCCAAUCGAACCUGGAGAUAGCUGGUUCUCCCCGAAAUAGCUUUAGGGCUAGCCUUAAGUGUAAGAGUCUUGGAGGUAGAGCACUGAUUGGACUAGGGGUCCUCAUCGGAUUACCGAAUUCAGUCAAACUCCGAAUGCCAAUGACUUAUCCUUAGGAGUCAGACUGCGAGUGAUAAGAUCCGUAGUCAAAAGGGAAACAGCCCAGACCGCCAGCUAAGGUCCCAAAGUGUGUAUUAAGUGGAAAAGGAUGUGGAGUUGCUUAGACAACUAGGAUGUUGGCUUAGAAGCAGCCACCAUUUAAAGAGUGCGUAAUAGCUCACUAGUCGAGUGACUCUGCGCCGAAAAUGUACCGGGGCUAAAUACACCACCGAAGCUGCGGAUUGAUACCAAUGGUAUCAGUGGUAGGGGAGCGUUCUAAGGACAGUGAAGUCAGACCGUAAGGACUGGUGGAGUGCUUAGAAGUGAGAAUGCCGGUAUGAGUAGCGAAAGACGGGUGAGAAUCCCGUCCACCGAAUGCCUAAGGUUUCCUGAGGAAGGCUCGUCCGCUCAGGGUUAGUCAGGACCUAAGCCGAGGCCGACAGGCGUAGGCGAUGGACAACAGGUUGAUAUUCCUGUACCACCUCUUUAUCGUUUGAGCAAUGGAGGGACGCAGAAGGAUAGAAGAAGCGUGCGAUUGGUUGUGCACGUCCAAGCAGUUAGGCUGAUAAGUAGGCAAAUCCGCUUAUCGUGAAGGCUGAGCUGUGAUGGGGAAGCUCCUUAUGGAGCGAAGUCUUUGAUUCCCCGCUGCCAAGAAAAGCUUCUAGCGAGAUAAAAGGUGCCUGUACCGCAAACCGACACAGGUAGGCGAGGAGAGAAUCCUAAGGUGUGCGAGAGAACUCUGGUUAAGGAACUCGGCAAAAUGACCCCGUAACUUCGGGAGAAGGGGUGCUUUCUUAACGGAAAGCCGCAGUGAAUAGGCCCAAGCGACUGUUUAGCAAAAACACAGCUCUCUGCGAAGCCGUAAGGCGAAGUAUAGGGGGUGACACCUGCCCGGUGCUGGAAGGUUAAGGAGAGGGGUUAGCGUAAGCGAAGCUCUGAACUGAAGCCCCAGUAAACGGCGGCCGUAACUAUAACGGUCCUAAGGUAGCGAAAUUCCUUGUCGGGUAAGUUCCGACCCGCACGAAAGGUGUAACGAUUUGGGCACUGUCUCAACCAGAGACUCGGUGAAAUUAUAGUACCUGUGAAGAUGCAGGUUACCCGCGACAGGACGGAAAGACCCCGUGGAGCUUUACUGUAGCCUGAUAUUGAAUUUUGGUACAGUUUGUACAGGAUAGGCGGGAGCCAUUGAAACCGGAGCGCUAGCUUCGGUGGAGGCGCUGGUGGGAUACCGCCCUGACUGUAUUGAAAUUCUAACCUACGGGUCUUAUCGACCCGGGAGACAGUGUCAGGUGGGCAGUUUGACUGGGGCGGUCGCCUCCUAAAGUGUAACGGAGGCGCCCAAAGGUUCCCUCAGAAUGGUUGGAAAUCAUUCGUAGAGUGCAAAGGCAUAAGGGAGCUUGACUGCGAGACCUACAAGUCGAGCAGGGACGAAAGUCGGGCUUAGUGAUCCGGUGGUUCCGCAUGGAAGGGCCAUCGCUCAACGGAUAAAAGCUACCCCGGGGAUAACAGGCUUAUCUCCCCCAAGAGUCCACAUCGACGGGGAGGUUUGGCACCUCGAUGUCGGCUCAUCGCAUCCUGGGGCUGUAGUCGGUCCCAAGGGUUGGGCUGUUCGCCCAUUAAAGCGGUACGCGAGCUGGGUUCAGAACGUCGUGAGACAGUUCGGUCCCUAUCCGUCGUGGGCGUAGGAAAUUUGAGAGGAGCUGUCCUUAGUACGAGAGGACCGGGAUGGACGCACCGCUGGUGUACCAGUUGUUCUGCCAAGGGCAUAGCUGGGUAGCUAUGUGCGGAAGGGAUAAGUGCUGAAAGCAUCUAAGCAUGAAGCCCCCCUCAAGAUGAGAUUUCCCAUAGCGUAAGCUAGUAAGAUCCCUGAAAGAUGAUCAGGUUGAUAGGUUCGAGGUGGAAGCAUGGUGACAUGUGGAGCUGACGAAUACUAAUAGAUCGAGGACU